RNAcentral lists this long non-coding RNA (341 nucleotides) under Homo sapiens (human). RNAcentral describes it as "non-protein coding lnc-BRF1-31:4". Lineage: Eukaryota; Metazoa; Chordata; Mammalia; Primates; Hominidae. The record is from RNAcentral.
CAGGUGCAGCUGGUGCAGUCUGGGCCUGAGGUGAAGAAGCCUGGGACCUCAGUGAAGGUCUCCUGCAAGGCUUCUGGAUUCACCUUUACUAGCUCUGCUGUGCAGUGGGUGCGACAGGCUCGUGGACAACGCCUUGAGUGGAUAGGAUGGAUCGUCGUUGGCAGUGGUAACACAAACUACGCACAGAAGUUCCAGGAAAGAGUCACCAUUACCAGGGACAUGUCCACAAGCACAGCCUACAUGGAGCUGAGCAGCCUGAGAUCCGAGGACACGGCCGUGUAUUACUGUGCGAUGAUGCUUUUGAUAUCUGGGGCCAAGGGACAAUGGUCACCGUCUCUUCA